This 292-nucleotide ribosomal RNA is filed under the name uncultured bacterium. Its description in RNAcentral is "partial 16S ribosomal RNA". It matches the Rfam family "Bacterial small subunit ribosomal RNA", at positions 505 to 796 of the family's 1533-position model. The record is from RNAcentral.
GUGUCAGCCGCCGCGGUAAGACGAACCGUACGAACGUUAUUCGGAAUUACUGGGCUUAAAGGGUGCGUAGGCGGUGCAGAAAGUUGGGUGUGAAAUCCCCUGGCUUAACCAGGGAAUUGCGCUCAAAACUACUGUGCUAGAGGAAUACAGAGGUAAGCGGAACUUAGGGUGGAGCGGUGAAAUGCGUUGAUAUCCUAAGGAACACCGGUGGCGAAAGCGGCUUACUGGGUAUUUUCUGACGCUGAGGCACGAAAGCUAGGGUAGCGAACGGGAUUAGAUACCCGGGUAGUCC